Molecule: ribosomal RNA, 992 nt
Filed under: Staphylococcus aureus M0330
Lineage: Bacteria; Bacillati; Bacillota; Bacilli; Caryophanales; Staphylococcaceae
Also listed under: 1 other name
Description: bacterial SSU rRNA
Rfam family: Bacterial small subunit ribosomal RNA
Source: RNAcentral
AGAGUUUGAUCCUGGCUCAGGAUGAACGCUGGCGGCGUGCCUAAUACAUGCAAGUCGAGCGAACGGACGAGAAGCUUGCUUCUCUGAUGUUAGCGGCGGACGGGUGAGUAACACGUGGAUAACCUACCUAUAAGACUGGGAUAACUUCGGGAAACCGGAGCUAAUACCGGAUAAUAUUUUGAACCGCAUGGUUCAAAAGUGAAAGACGGUCUUGCUGUCACUUAUAGAUGGAUCCGCGCUGCAUUAGCUAGUUGGUAAGGUAACGGCUUACCAAGGCAACGAUGCAUAGCCGACCUGAGAGGGUGAUCGGCCACACUGGAACUGAGACACGGUCCAGACUCCUACGGGAGGCAGCAGUAGGGAAUCUUCCGCAAUGGGCGAAAGCCUGACGGAGCAACGCCGCGUGAGUGAUGAAGGUCUUCGGAUCGUAAAACUCUGUUAUUAGGGAAGAACAUAUGUGUAAGUAACUGUGCACAUCUUGACGGUACCUAAUCAGAAAGCCACGGCUAACUACGUGCCAGCAGCCGCGGUAAUACGUAGGUGGCAAGCGUUAUCCGGAAUUAUUGGGCGUAAAGCGCGCGUAGGCGGUUUUUUAAGUCUGAUGUGAAAGCCCACGGCUCAACCGUGGAGGGUCAUUGGAAACUGGAAAACUUGAGUGCAGAAGAGGAAAGUGGAAUUCCAUGUGUAGCGGUGAAAUGCGCAGAGAUAUGGAGGAACACCAGUGGCGAAGGCGACUUUCUGGUCUGUAACUGACGCUGAUGUGCGAAAGCGUGGGGAUCAAACAGGAUUAGAUACCCUGGUAGUCCACGCCGUAAACGAUGAGUGCUAAGUGUUAGGGGGUUUCCGCCCCUUAGUGCUGCAGCUAACGCAUUAAGCACUCCGCCUGGGGAGUACGACCGCAAGGUUGAAACUCAAAGGAAUUGACGGGGACCCGCACAAGCGGUGGAGCAUGUGGUUUAAUUCGAAGCAACGCGAAGAACCUUACCAAAUCU